RNAcentral lists this transfer RNA (71 nucleotides) under Flavobacteriales bacterium. Its description in RNAcentral is "tRNA-His". It matches the Rfam family "tRNA". From Rfam's summary of the family: Transfer RNA (tRNA) molecules are approximately 80 nucleotides in length. Their secondary structure includes four short double-helical elements and three loops (D, anti-codon, and T loops). The record is from RNAcentral. Lineage: Bacteria; Pseudomonadati; Bacteroidota; Flavobacteriia; Flavobacteriales.
CUGGGUGUGGUGCAAUGGUAGCACGGCUGCUUGUGAGGCAGUAGGCAUGGGUUCGAUCCCCAUCAUCCGAC